GGGGAAGGGGAAGGGGGCGCACCCGAGGAGCAAAGGGCAGUGGCACAUUGCCUGCCUUUUAGGGCCUGUGGGAAGUGGAGUAGCCCCGCCCCAGGGUAUCUGGCUUCCCCCGCCCCGCCUUUUCCUUCCUGCUUGCCCCAAAGCCAUGUUUCCGUCUAGGCCAAUCCCCCCUCAACUGCUUUGCUGCAUCGGGUCGGGCAUCCUUCUGGAGAGGGCCAGCCAAGCAGGAGUCCCAUGAGCAUUUAAGUGUCUUCUUACCUCCUUGGGCAAGCUUUCCUCAAAACGAACCCCUUCCAGGACACUCCUUUCGGGCCCAGGGCUGGGCCCCACCCUUCAAAAUCCAUGGGACCAUAAUCAGCUCACGCACAGAGUGCAGGCAUCGUGUCAGCAAGAGGAAAUGCACCUUGGCGCAUCUCUCUCUGGGAUCCCUCAGCCUGAGGACGGUGCUGUUGGCUCAGCUGUGCAAUAUCCAUUAUGCCUGCCUACGCUGGACGGAGCCGGGGCGUCCGUGUGCCACAGGAUCCCCAAAUCCCGCGGAGCCGUCCUACCAGCCUUGGGUGAUGUGAUUCUUGAGGAUGGAAAGGGCAGGAGUGCCAGGGACUCUCUCUGGGUGCGUGUGCGAGUCAGAGAAGGGUGCUGUUGCCCUCCGUUCCGUGUCUGAGCUGGUAGAAUCUCAGUGUGUCUUCCUGGAGUCCAAGGCACCAAGAGUGUUGCAACAUAGCGUGUUGUGAAGACCAAAGCCUGCCCAGCAUCUUGGCUGUUUACAGCCAAGAAGGAGAGGGCCAACAGUGGAAACGCAGGUGCUGCUAAACCGUUUCUGCAGCCAUUGUAAAGCAAUUACAGUGAAGUUUAACUGCUGAGUUUCCAGGAGAGAAAUGAUCUAAUAAUUGCACCCGGUUGAUGGCUGGAGGAGAAUUGACAGCUAACGCUGCAGGAAGAUUGAGUUCAGGAAAACAGGAGUUUCCAGAGUCUCCCCCUCACUCGGAAGGAGCAUCCGGUCACUCACGCCUGAGUCACCUCCUGUUUGGAUUAUUGUAACGUGCUCUAUGUGGGGUUGCCCUUAAGACCAUCCAGCGGCACCACAGUUCGGGUGUCCCAUGGCUCACCCGAGUAGCACCACUGCUGCGUGAGCUGCACUGGCUCCCAGCUGCAUUCUAGGUGCAGUUCGGGGUGCUGGUUGUCACCUUUAAAGCCCUACGUGGCACAGACCAGCCUCUCCCUGAGGGUAUUUGCCCGUUAAACAGGGUGGCUGUGCUCCAGGUCCCCUCCCUUAAAAGUUGCCACCUGAUGGGACCUCAGAAGCGCACCUUCCUGGUGGCCACCCCAGCCCUUUGGAACAGCCUCCCACCGGAGGUCCGAGGGAUCCCUGCCCUUCUAGCCUUCCGGAAGGCCAUGAAGACAAGCCUUGGGCUAGGAGGACAGUUGAGCCAGGAGGCUGCUUGGUCUGGCGCCUGGGGGGAAAAGUGCCUUUGUUUUUAUCCUGUUUUUAGGGAUUGUCGUGAGCUGCCUGGAAUCGUUGUAUGAGAUAGGUAGCCAUACGAGUUCUGUUAAUAAUAAUAAUAAUACAUUUGGCCAAGCCAGGA
Molecule: non-coding RNA, 1583 nt
Organism: Python bivittatus (Burmese python)
Lineage: Eukaryota; Metazoa; Chordata; Lepidosauria; Squamata; Pythonidae
Source: RefSeq, a predicted model, not a curated record